Saccostrea cuccullata (small rock oyster) is the source of this 1928-nucleotide long non-coding RNA. RefSeq lists it as uncharacterized. The record is from RefSeq and is a predicted model, not a curated record. The transcript is spliced from 6 exons. Lineage: Eukaryota; Metazoa; Mollusca; Bivalvia; Ostreida; Ostreidae.
AGUUCCCAGAGUUCCGUGACAAAUCAUUUGUUAUCAAGACUUCCUGUUCGACCCAAGUCGCCAUAAUAUUUAUUCUGCAGAGAUGGCAAGCGAAGAAACGUCUCCCCGCACUCUGUAUGUGGGUAACCUUGACCCCAGUGUCACAGAGACCUUGAUCAUGGCCUUGUUUGGACAGAUAGGACCUAGGACCAUGUAAAAGCUGUAAAAUCAUACACGAGACCACCCCUGGAAUGAGGGAACCAAAUGAGGAGGCGAAAUAUGGGCCGAAUUAUGAGGUAAAGUAAAUGCACUUUUUUCCUGACACUAAAACCAGGGUUAUACGUCUUGUUCUAAUUCACUCAAAUUCCCUGAAAAACAAACGAGUCAUGUUAACUUAUUUUCAUUAAAAAGUGUAAUAAAAAUAGAGAGAAAGGGUGGUGUAUAGUAUUUCACACAGAAAAAUCUCUUUGUAUGACUAUUUUGUGAUCAAAUUUCAAAUUAAAGUGGAAGUGAGUAACAAUGUUUUUUGAAAUAUAACCAGAAGAUCAUGAUGAAAAAGAAAGAUGACUUGGCAUACUUAAAAUGAAAAGUACAUGUAUUAAUUAGGUUACUUGUAACAGUAUUCAGUGAGAUUUAUAUAUACGUAUAUAUGAACAAUUAAGUUUUCUGUAAGCUGUUCUUUUAUGCAUGACGAUAGCCAAAAAGUAUAGAAUGAUUUUAAAGCAACAUAGUAUAUAAGCUACAAUUUAUUUCUUAAAGAUUUAUGUUAUGUAUUCUUAAUAAAUAACUUUAUAAUGUAAAAUAACACAAGAAAUAUUACAACAAGCUGCUGUUUUGAGCUCCAGAUAAAUAGGAGGUUCAGGAACAGCAGAGGUUCUUCUGAAUCAGUCCCUUGUUCUCAAAACACUUCUCUAUUAUCUGUGUAGGAAAAGACCCUUUAUAUUAAUACAGACUUGCUGCUUUACCAUUCAUGUCAUUGAAUGCAAUAUAACACGGUUGUGUUGUUCUUAGAAACAAAAACAAACCACUGAACUGUUAAAAUAACAUUAAAAUGGUGCAUGUAUGUAAUGCACAUUCCAUUAUCAGCAAUGCUGGUAUAUUGUCAGUAGUUGCACUGUUGUGUAAUCUGUAAGGCAGUGCUCCUAUUUGGGAGCAGGUGCCCUGAGAUAGAGAACUGAGAGGACUUGAUUUGGCUUUUACAGCCGGGUGUUGCAGCGGAACCCAGGAACAAGGAAUCGCCAUGAUUUCCGAGGUUCCAGCUUAGUCUGUUCACAUGUGAGAUGUAUUUAUUUUACUAUUGUAUCAUAAUCUUAUUAACUGUGUGUAUUGUUCUGUAACCAGCGGGGGCAGAGACUUUGUACAGGUUAGACCUUUUUAUCACAUUUUUGUACCUUUUUUGACCCAAUUUCUCUCAGAAGUUGGUUGUAGGACCUCCGACUUGUUCUUCAACCAUUUGCUACAGCUGAAAUUGUCAGCUUCUUCUUGUUCCUCUUUAAAAUCAUUUCUGAAAAAAAUUGAAUGCCCCCUAUUGGAUUAAAAACAACCCUUCUGUCAGAUCUUUGUUCUGUCCCUAUGGGUGCUGUACAAGGGAGGUAAGCCAAUCUUUAUUAUUUUAUCUGAGGAAAAAACCUCAACUGGGGAAAAAGCAGGAAAAGAAAAAGUUGAUGGAAGGUACCAUUUUACUCUUCUUCUCUGUGUUAUAGCAUUAUUAACCUGUAGAAUUAUCUGAAUUUUCAAACGUGUAAUAGUGUUAAUCAUUCAUUUGAUUCUUAAGGAGAAUGACCUUUGACCUCUCUUUUAUAUACCUCCCUCAAUGAAGAGUUCCAGUUAUGGAGUCGGUAGAAGGACCGGUGGAUCCGUACUGCUUCGUGGAGUUCUACGACCACGCCUCGGCAGCAGCAGCCCUCGCCGCCAUGAAUAAAAGGAUGUGCCUGGGAAGGGUAAGUAAA